UAUUGUGAGAAAUAAAGAAAU
Non-coding RNA from Caenorhabditis elegans, 21 nucleotides. The record is from Ensembl. NCBI's taxonomy places the organism in Eukaryota, Metazoa, Nematoda, Chromadorea, Rhabditida, Rhabditidae.